GCCCGGAUGGUCUAGUGGUAUGAUUCUCGCUUGUAAGUCGGCCUUAUCAACGCCUUAUCAUCAGUCCUUCGAUACUAAUAAAUCAUUACAGUGGGCUGUACAGUACCAAUCUGCGAGAGGUCCCGCGUUCAAACCGCGGUUCGGGCC
This is a non-coding RNA of Aspergillus sergii, 147 nucleotides long. Lineage: Eukaryota; Fungi; Ascomycota; Eurotiomycetes; Eurotiales; Aspergillaceae. The record is from the annotation of a GenBank genome assembly.